RNAcentral lists this non-coding RNA (399 nucleotides) under Drosophila virilis. Its description in RNAcentral is "Eukaryotic small subunit ribosomal RNA". It matches the Rfam family "Eukaryotic small subunit ribosomal RNA", at positions 24 to 594 of the family's 1831-position model. The record is from Rfam by way of RNAcentral. Lineage: Eukaryota; Metazoa; Arthropoda; Insecta; Diptera; Drosophilidae.
UCCUAUGCUUGUCUCAUAGAUUAAGCCAUGCAUUUCUAAGCUCACACGAACUAACUGUAAAACCGCAAAAGGCGUUUUAUAUCAGUUGUGGUUCCUUAUAUCGUUAACAGUUACUUGGAAUAACAUCUAGUUCGUAUGGUCUUGUACCGACGACAGAUCUUUCAGAUGUCUGUCAUAUAAAUUUUUGAUGGUAUUACAUGGACUACAAUGGUUGCGAUGGGUAACGAGAAGCCGGCGAGUAAAUUACCCACUUCCUGAUUGCGGGGGUAGUGACGAAAAAACAAUACAGGACUCAUAUCCGAGGGCCUGUAAUUGGAUUGAGUACACACAUUAAAUACUUUAACAAGAACCUAUUGGAGGACAAGUCUGAUGCCAGCAGCCGCGGCACUAUAGCGUAAA